UAUUGGUUGAUGAUGUUAAUUAAAACAGACAAGUUUUAGUUAAUUAUUUUAAAAGAACCAUACUAUAACUAUAGUUGAUCUUCUACCAUUUGAUGGACGCAUUUUAGCCUAUGUUGCUCGGACUCAGGUGUGGGUUUUUAGGAUUCGGGGGUAUGGAUCCGCAUGCAGAUAUGGGUGCUGAGCCAAGAAACGUAUAUUACGAUAUAUAAAGUAUAUGUUUCGAUUAAUUAAUAUUGAACUAAAACUAGUAAAAUUUACUUAUUUAUAAACACCUAAGAUUUUAUUCAUAAGAUAUCUCGUGUAAUAGCAAAGCAUUCUCAUACUUUAUCUAUGACAUAUAAACCAAAAAAAUAAACCGAACUUCCAAUCAAUCUAUACUUCUC
Molecule: long non-coding RNA, 383 nt
Organism: Lycium ferocissimum
Lineage: Eukaryota; Viridiplantae; Streptophyta; Magnoliopsida; Solanales; Solanaceae
Exons: 2
Source: RefSeq, a predicted model, not a curated record